RNAcentral lists this ribosomal RNA (386 nucleotides) under Ammonia sp. RNAcentral describes it as "partial large subunit ribosomal RNA". The record is from RNAcentral. Lineage: Eukaryota; Foraminifera; Rotaliida; Rotaliidae.
CGUAAUAAUAGAAACUAACCAGGAUUCCCUUAGUAACGGCGAGUGAACUGGGAUACCAACACACCAAUAUGCACUCUGUGCAUAAUUUAGCCCGUCGAUACUAUCCUAGCAUAUCACCGGUCUCGGCCGGUAACCCAAUAUGCGGGAAUUGUAGCAUCGUAAUAAAAAAUAUAUAUAUGCUGUGCACACACACACACACACACCCAGUGCCAUGCGUACGUGACCUUGUAAACACACAGCGUCUCCGCGUUGGAAAGCAAGUAUAUAUCCUCUUUGGAUAUGCCAUAGAGUGUGACAGCCACGUUUGACUCACUCCACACGUUACGCGCACACACACCCAUUGCACACACACAUUAUAUAUUUCUAUAACCUGAGUCGAGUUAUUU